RNAcentral lists this ribosomal RNA (593 nucleotides) under Salmonella enterica. RNAcentral describes it as "partial 23S ribosomal RNA". It matches the Rfam family "Bacterial large subunit ribosomal RNA", at positions 909 to 1503 of the family's 2925-position model. The record is from RNAcentral. Lineage: Bacteria; Pseudomonadati; Pseudomonadota; Gammaproteobacteria; Enterobacterales; Enterobacteriaceae.
ACUGUUUCGGCUAGGGGGCCAUCCCGGCUUACCAACCCGAUGCAAACUGCGAAUACCGGAGAAUGUUAUCACGGGAGACACACGGCGGGUGCUAACGUCCGUCGUGAAGAGGGAAACAACCCAGACCGCCAGCUAAGGUCCCAAAGUCAUGGUUAAGUGGGAAACGAUGUGGGAAGGCCCAGACAGCCAGGAUGUUGGCUUAGAAGCAGCCAUCAUUUAAAGAAAGCGUAAUAGCUCACUGGUCGAGUCGGCCUGCGCGGAAGAUGUAACGGGGCUAAACCAUGCACCGAAGCUGCGGCAGCGACACUCAGGUGUUGUUGGGUAGGGGAGCGUUCUGUAAGCCUGUGAAGGUGGCCUGUGAGGGUUGCUGGAGGUAUCAGAAGUGCGAAUGCUGACAUAAGUAACGAUAAAGCGGGUGAAAAGCCCGCUCGCCGGAAGACCAAGGGUUCCUGUCCAACGUUAAUCGGGGCAGGGUGAGUCGACCCCUAAGGCGAGGCCGAAAGGCGUAGUCGAUGGGAAACGGGUUAAUAUUCCCGUACUUGGUGUUACUGCGAAGGGGGGACGGAGAAGGCUAUGUUGGCCGGGCGACGGUU